GUGGUUACUCGCCGCUGUAAAUGGGCAAAUAAUUAUCUUAAAAAAAAAAUCAGGAAAUAUUCUGGCCCCUGGAGCAGUCUGCUCAACUGGUAGGAGGAAAAGUCAAGAAAAGCUCCUUUGAGAAGGUCUCCCUGGAAGACAGGCCCAUGAGGAACUGAAGAAAGAAGUGGGAGGCCAGAGGAGAACUCACACAGGGUAUUUGGAGGACGAAGAAUUCAGACUGGAAAAUAAAAAUAACGUGGGAGAGAAGCUGGGGAGGGGUGGGAAGAAAAUAGAAGAAAGAGGAAGAAGUCCAAGAAAGAAGAAAAUGGACAUGAAGUAGUUGCUUUCUUAUAAACUCCCUGC
Saimiri boliviensis boliviensis (Bolivian squirrel monkey) is the source of this 345-nucleotide long non-coding RNA. RefSeq lists it as uncharacterized. NCBI's taxonomy places the organism in Eukaryota, Metazoa, Chordata, Mammalia, Primates, Cebidae. The record is from RefSeq and is a predicted model, not a curated record.